GUUUCACUUGCAUUGCUCACACUUUUUGGUAGCAAGACAAUUCAACUUAACAGUAUCAGACCCAUGCAUUCUAAAUGUUUUCUUGCCAUUUUAAGAUUAAGUCACUGUUUUCAGUAAUGAUCUGUCUAGAUGCAGGGAGCUGUGUCUUUCAGCAUGAUUAAUACUCAGCUAUACUUGUUUUAGCAUGGCAAUGGCAUUUCUUGUUGAUAAUCAUCUCUCUCUUCCUUCCCACAAAAAACUGUCACCAAUAGCAUGGACUCCACCUUUCAGAAAAGUAGGAGCAAAAGUGAGACCCAGACAGAGCAAAGAGAUGAAAUAUCUGUUGCCAUACCAUAUGGAUGCUGUGGUUGUCUCCAACCCUCACAGAAGCUGGGAUGCACAGAAUUUCUACUUUUUACAAUAGAAGAGCUGCCAUCCUUCCUAAGGGAAUGCAAGAGUCAACAGAAAUAUGCAAAAGGCUGGCGGUGCAGAGGCUGCUGCUGCUGGACCAACCCCAACUAACUCUUGCUCCUAGAGCUUCUCCAGGUACAAAGGCAGCACUGACAAGAAGUGAUCCUUCAGCCCGGAAAGGAUGAGCAGGAACACUCAUCCAUUGCCAGCCUGGUUCAAGCCAUGGGGG
This 619-nucleotide long non-coding RNA is filed under the name Zonotrichia albicollis (white-throated sparrow). RNAcentral describes it as "lncRNA (ENSZALG00000007933.1)". The record is from RNAcentral. Lineage: Eukaryota; Metazoa; Chordata; Aves; Passeriformes; Passerellidae.